RNAcentral lists this ribosomal RNA (508 nucleotides) under Opitzia chiapas. Its description in RNAcentral is "partial 16S ribosomal RNA". The stretch from base 385 to 508 matches the Rfam family "Archaeal large subunit ribosomal RNA", at positions 2544 to 2668 of the family's 2987-position model. The record is from RNAcentral. Lineage: Eukaryota; Metazoa; Arthropoda; Insecta; Coleoptera; Cleridae.
UGUCUUUUUGAUAAUAAUUUAAAGUCUGGUCUGCCCACUGAAAUUUUAAAUGGCCGCGGUAUUUUGACCGUGCAAAGGUAGCAUAAUCAUUAGUUUUUUAAUUGAAAGCUGGUAUGAAUGAUUGGAUGAGAAAAUAACUGUCUCAAAUUAAUUUAUAUAGAAUUUUAUUUUUAAGUUAAAAAGCUUAAAUUUAAUUUAAAGACGAGAAGACCCUAUAGAGUUUGAUAAAUAAGAUUAUUUAUUUUUUUAGUUUUUAUAGUUUAGAUUUAUUUUAUUUAUUUUAUUGGGGUGAUGAAAAAAUUUAAUUAACUUUUUUUUUAUUUUUACAUUGAUAAAUGAUUUUUUGAUCCAUAAUUUAUGAUUAUAAGAUAAAAUUACCUUAGGGAUAACAGCGUAAUUUUUUUUAAGAGUUCUAAUCGAAAAAAGAGAUUGCGACCUCGAUGUUGGAUUAAAGUAUAUAUUUGGCGCAGUASCUAAAAUAUUAGGUCUGUUCGACCUUUAAAACUUU